GAUGAAGAACGCAGCGAAAUGCGAUAAGUAAUGUGAAUUGCAGAAUUCAGUGAAUCAUCGAAUCUUUGAACGCACCUUGCGCCCUUUGGCCAUUCCGAAGGGCAUGCCUGUUUGAGUAUCAUGAACACCUCAACUCUCAUGGCUCGCCAUGAUGAGCUUGGACUUUGGGGGUCUUGCUGGCCUGUGGUCGGCUCCUCUCAAAUGGAUCAGCUUGCCAGUGUUUGGUGGCAUCACAGGUGUGAUAACUAUCUGCGCUUGUGGUUUUCCAUCAGAUAACCUUCAGUGAUGGAGGUUCGCUGGAGCUCAUAAACGUCUCCCCUACGCGGGGACAGCCCUUUGAAUGUUUGAUCUCAAAUCAGGUAGGACUACCCGCUGAACUUAAGCAUAUCAAUAAGCGGAGGA
This 402-nucleotide unclassified non-coding RNA is filed under the name soil metagenome. RNAcentral's name for it is "partial contains 5.8S ribosomal RNA, internal transcribed spacer 2, and large subunit ribosomal RNA". The stretch from base 1 to 121 matches the Rfam family "5.8S ribosomal RNA", at positions 35 to 154 of the family's 154-position model. The record is from RNAcentral.